UAUUCCUUUUUUUUUACCUUUUCUAUUAUUUAGAGCAACUUUCAUUUGACUCCCCACUUCCCCUUUCAUGGCAUUCUUAAUCGGAGAGUUAGGUCAACAAUCACUCCUCAAUUCAAUAGUAAAACUGAAUCCAGCAGUCGAUAUCUUCGGAUUAGUGUUCCUAUUUUUCAUCGAUUUUGGUUACAGAUAGAUUUCAGAUUUCAAAUUCAAAUCCACAUUGUUUAGCUUUUUAUCCCGCUAAUGGAGCUAUAUAUAUGUGAUCGGUGUUACUAUCUAAUUCUCCACUGCAUACGGCUUCCCUCAAUUGCGAGUAUUAGCUUAAAUUUCAGGGUUAAAAGAGCUUAAAUGUGCAAAAGGAGCAAAAAGACAACAAAAACCAACACAAAUGUAAAGAAGGAGGAAUUGACGCAACUCGCUAAGCCUCGAUUCACAUUCAAACCAUAAAAUAGCAAGAACAGAAGACUUGACAUGGGGCCGUGUCCGAAGGUGGAUGCUGUGCAGAAGAAAAGACAACUGCAAAAGACAAAACUGGCAGCUCACACGGGGACGUGCUAAGCCAACACGGGGCGUGGUCAACUCAAAGAUUUUUAGAAUCUGCGAUAGUACAGUAAGUACUUUGGCCAUGGGCUGUGCCGUUGACACACUAGGCGGUGUUAGUACAAGAACUGACAAGCAAUUAAUGAGGAAGAGAGAGAAAUGACCAUGGGACAGAUCCUUACCAACUUAAACCCAAGUAAGUAAAUGAUGGAGGCAUUAGGACUAACCCUUUUUCUUUUCGACACCAUUAUUUUUCAUUUUACCACCUACCCAAAAUCCCCCUAGUUAACCCCUUUGAGCCUAAACCUUUUCGUUUCUAAACCCACAAAACAAACACCCUUUACCCACCAAAACCUUUUUGUUAACCCUUUAUUUUAGUAAAAAUCUCGGUUUUCAUGUGACAUUCCUUUUCAAAAAAAAUGAAGUAUAGCAAUAAACAAACAUGUUCCUCAAAAGAAGCUUUGUUUGAAAAUGCUUUAUUUGAAUAAAAGUCAUAAAAACAAAAAGUUUUACGACGACCGACGCUUUUUACGCUUUUCGCCCUGUUUACUAACCACUAACCCAAAACCACCUACCUUUAACCCAAGCUUAACCCUUCCCCAAGUCCUCUUGAUAUUUACAAAGGUGUAUAGUUAAAAAGGAGGAGGAUUGAUUGCUUGGCAAGCAUAUGGUAGAAGUAAGUUUCAUGCCGGUCUCGAGUGUUUCACAAAAAUACAUCUUCGGCCGAGUGUUGAGUGAUCUCCCGUGAGGAUUAAAUGAGCGUAAAUGAACAAAAGGAACAAAUAUGCAGCAAAAUCUAACAUA
Molecule: long non-coding RNA, 1341 nt
Filed under: Helianthus annuus (common sunflower)
Lineage: Eukaryota; Viridiplantae; Streptophyta; Magnoliopsida; Asterales; Asteraceae
Description: hypothetical non coding rna
Source: RNAcentral